GAUGAACGCUGGCUACAGGCUUAACACAUGCAAGUCGAGGGGAAACGACGGGGAAGCUUGCUUCCCCGGGCGUCGACCGGCGCACGGGUGAGUAACGCGUAUCCAACCUGCCUCUGACUGAGGGAUAACCCGUCGAAAGUCGGCCUAAUACCUCAUGGCAUCGUCUGCGGGCAUCCAACGACGAUUAAAGAUUUCAUCGGUCAGGGAUGGGGAUGCGUCUGAUUAGCUUGUUGGCGGGGUAACGGCCCACCAAGGCUACGAUCAGUAGGGGUUCUGAGAGGAAGGUCCCCCACAUUGGAACUGAGACACGGACCAAACUCCUACGGGAGGCAGCAGUGAGGAAUAUUGGUCAAUGGGCGGGAGCCUGAACCAGCCAAGUAGCGUGCAGGAGGACGGCCCUAUGGGUUGUAAACUGCUUUUAUGCGGGGAUAAAGUGAGGGACGUGUCCUUCAUUGCAGGUACCGAAUGAAUAAGGACCGGCUAAUUCCGUG
RNAcentral lists this ribosomal RNA (491 nucleotides) under uncultured bacterium. RNAcentral describes it as "partial 16S ribosomal RNA". It matches the Rfam family "Bacterial small subunit ribosomal RNA", at positions 28 to 507 of the family's 1533-position model. The record is from RNAcentral.